Long non-coding RNA from Drosophila ananassae, 908 nucleotides. RefSeq lists it as uncharacterized. The transcript is spliced from 4 exons. NCBI's taxonomy places the organism in Eukaryota, Metazoa, Arthropoda, Insecta, Diptera, Drosophilidae. The record is from RefSeq and is a predicted model, not a curated record.
UGCAUCUUUAGUUGGAACCUUAACUUAGUCCUCUCCAUCGCACCGCCUUUCUGUUCAAUGGGGAUGUCUUCUUUUCUGAUUAUCUUUUUUUAUUUACAGCUUAACUUGGCAAGUACUACACUAUUCUAUAUAUUCCCCACUAUCCUCAAAGUAUAAUCUAUAUAACUCUAGUAUAAUCCAUUACCUUUUCUUCCCACAGAUUUUUGCAUCUUUAGUUGGAACCUUAACUUAGUCCUCUCCAUCGCACCGCCUUUCUGUUCAAUGGGGAUGUCUUCUUUUCUGAUUAUCUUUUUUUAUUUACAGCUUAACUUGGCAAGUACUACACUAUUCUAUAUAUUCCCCACUAUCCUCAAAGUAUAAUCUAUAUAACUCUAGUAUAAUCCAUUACCUUUUCUUCCCACAGAUUUUUGCAUCUUUAGUUGGAACCUUAACUUAGACCUCUCCAUCGCAAUGCCUUUGCUCUUUCUGUUCAAUGGGGAUGUCUUCUUUUCUGAUUAUCUCUUUUAUUUUAUAAUUUAACUUGGCAAAUGUUCUUCUUAUUUGAUGUCCUGAUUCCAAUUACCCUGGUCCUUUAUGCGUAUUUUUGCAUAGAUUACCUUAACUCGCGGGGUGGGAGUUCUACAGAGGAGUACCUGACACUGAGGAGUAUUCGGUUUAUGAUGCGGGUACUGAGCUGAUUACUUUUUUCUUUUUAUUUAUUUAUUUUUUUGAGCUACUGUGGUCUCUUGUAAGCUUUGAUACAAAAUUCGAAGAGGAUGGCUGUGGUUCUGAUAUUACUUUCAAAUCCUUGAAGAUGAAACCCUGAACUCCAUCGACUUCAAAUGUAUUUCCUUAUAACUUUGUAACGAAAAUGAGCUCUCCUUUUAAUUAAAAAAAACAAACUUUAAAUUCAAUUCCAAGUCUAAUUC